CGCGCGGCGGUAGGCGUCGGAGUGGAUCGUCGCCUCGGUGGCGAUGACGGCAAUGACGCCGCCGGCGGCCGCUUCGACCGCGGCCCGCGCGCCC
This 94-nucleotide transfer RNA is filed under the name Phycisphaerae bacterium. RNAcentral's name for it is "tRNA-Pro". The record is from RNAcentral. Lineage: Bacteria; Pseudomonadati; Planctomycetota; Phycisphaerae.